UCUCCGUUGGUGAACCAGCGGAGGGAUCAUUACCGAGUUUACAACUCCCAAACCCAAUGUGAACCAUACCAAACUGUUGCCUCGGCGGGGUCACGCCCCGGGUGCGUCGCAGCCCCGGAACCAGGCGCCCGCCGGAGGGACCAACCAAACUCUUUCUGUAGUCCCCUCGCGGACGUUAUUUCUUACAGCUCUGAGCAAAAAUUCAAAAUGAAUCAAAACUUUCAACAACGGAUCUCUUGGUUCUGGCAUCGAUGAAGAACGCGGC
RNAcentral lists this unclassified non-coding RNA (265 nucleotides) under plant metagenome. RNAcentral's name for it is "partial contains small subunit ribosomal RNA, internal transcribed spacer 1, and 5.8S ribosomal RNA". The stretch from base 217 to 265 matches the Rfam family "5.8S ribosomal RNA", at positions 1 to 49 of the family's 154-position model. The record is from RNAcentral.